CCACCACUCUCGCGGUCCCUGCUCUCCCGCCUCUCAGUUGCUACGGCGAUGCUCGCAGGAGCGGCUUCCCUAGAGGUGCGCAAGCAGGAUCGAGCGGCACCGGCGAGGAGGAGAAUGCGCCAGCCGGCCCGGCGCUGAGCCACCCCACGUGGCACAGUGCCAGAGGGAUGAUGGGCUGAGACGGCUGCCGACGGAGGAUUGAACACACAAACCUGCCAACUAGUGACUGUGUCACGAGAUAAACGUCACUUGGCAGCGUCAUCUCCCGGAGUGCUCUCGCAGUGAAACACUGAAGGCAAACAGAAAACAAGUUUUAGCACACACACACAAACAUAAAUACACACGCGCACACACAUUCGAAAGAAGUUCAACAUACACGCACAUAUAUAAACAUUCUCGCUUACACGCAAAUGCACAAAAACACGCAGAACACACGCGCGCACAAUCGCAAAUGCAUACGUGCACAUCCGCAUAAAAUGCACACGUAGAUACACACACACAAAGUACAAACACACAUAUCAAUACACACACAUACCACUCCGCAAAUAUACACAUACAUACCAACACACACACAUAUAUUCCUACACACAUAACUCACGUACACAGACACGCACACGCACCAACACUCACACACACACACUGCUCACACACGACUCAG
Lethenteron reissneri (Far Eastern brook lamprey) is the source of this 658-nucleotide long non-coding RNA. RefSeq lists it as uncharacterized. Lineage: Eukaryota; Metazoa; Chordata; Hyperoartia; Petromyzontiformes; Petromyzontidae. The record is from RefSeq and is a predicted model, not a curated record.